AUUGAACGCUGGCGGAAUGCUUUACACAUGCAAGUCGAGCGGCAGCGCGGGGCAACCUGGCGGCGAGCGGCGAACGGGUGAGUAAUGCAUCGGAACGUACCCAGUCGUGGGGGAUAACUGUCCGAAAGGACAGCUAAUACCGCAUACGUCCUGAGGGAGAAAGCGGGGGAUCGCAAGACCCCGCGCGAUUGGAGCGGCCGAUGCCGGAUUAGCUAGUUGGUAGGGUAAAGGCCUACCAAGGCGACGAUCCGUAGCUGGUCUGAGAGGACGACCAGCCACACUGGAACUGAGACACGGUCCAGACUCCUACGGGAGGCAGCAGUGGGGAAUUUUGGACAAUGGGGGCAACCCUGAUCCAGCCAUUCCGCGUGAGUGAAGAAGGCCUCGGUUGUAAG
This 395-nucleotide ribosomal RNA is filed under the name uncultured bacterium. RNAcentral's name for it is "bacterial SSU rRNA". It matches the Rfam family "Bacterial small subunit ribosomal RNA", at positions 29 to 429 of the family's 1533-position model. The record is from RNAcentral.